AGAAAGGUAAUGAUCAAAAUUUAGAGGAUCCAAAUGUAAGAUUGAAAUGGUUCGUGGCAAGUGUUGCUUGUGGUGGUGGACUGGUGAGUUCGGCAUAUGCACGUUUAACUUCAAUUUUACCCUGUUUAUACGGUUUGAAGGGAAACUUGGUGUUGAGAUUUGAUAGAAAUUAUGAAUUAUAUUUAAAUAUUUUCUCUUAAGAUUCUAAAUCAAACUCUUAGCACAACGCCUAAACACUUAAUUUAAUAGGGAAUGCCAAUGAGUGUCCCAAAGACACUCUUUUAUAUGAAAGAUUUAAAAGGAGACUCAACAUAUUCUUUCAAUGACGUUAAAUUGCCCUUAUGGAAUUCCACUAUCGCCCACUUUGAUUGUUUAUUUUUUUGCUGGUACUUUUUUCCUUCUAAUUACUUUUCUCGAUGUUUAUUGUUUCCCCAGUUUUCUAUUUGUCGAGACAUGCUUUUUUCCUUCGACUAUACAUGAAGAGAAAAACAAAGGGUAAAUUAGGUUGGUGGGGGUUAUGAUCAAAUUGAUUGGAUAAGUUUGAGGUUAUUUCGCAGGAAUGUUGAUCAGGGUCAUAUGAUGAUAGAGAGCAUGUUUUGGAGCUGUCAAAUAAAUGGGUUUGUCUUCAAUGAUUGGAAGGAGCAAGUGUGAACAAUAUUCGUGGAUCCCAAUUUACUAUGAGAUUUAAAGACUCCGAAAGUUUUUUGACACUAAUGCAGAGGGCAAAUACGUAGAACUUUUACGGAAGUUAUUUAUCUGUAGAGAAAGGGACUUUAAGCUUUCAAUUGAUAAAAG
Molecule: long non-coding RNA, 795 nt
Filed under: Medicago truncatula (barrel medic)
Lineage: Eukaryota; Viridiplantae; Streptophyta; Magnoliopsida; Fabales; Fabaceae
Description: long non-coding RNA (MTRU_LNC001816)
Source: RNAcentral